UACGUAGGGUGCGAGCGUUGUCCGGAAUUACUGGGCGUAAAGAGCUCGUAGGUGGUUUGUCGCGUCGUCUGUGAAAUCCCGGGGCUUAACUCCGGGCGUGCAGGCGAUACGGGCAUAACUUGAGUGCUGUAGGGGAGACUGGAAUUCCUGGUGUAGCGGUGAAAUGCGCAGAUAUCAGGAGGAACACCGAUGGCGAAGGCAGGUCUCUGGGCAGUAACUGACGCUGAGGCUCGAAAGCGUGGGGAGCAAACAGG
Molecule: ribosomal RNA, 254 nt
Filed under: uncultured bacterium
Lineage: Bacteria
Description: partial 16S ribosomal RNA
Rfam family: Bacterial small subunit ribosomal RNA
Source: RNAcentral